CUUUGGAAUCACGCGGGAUAUUUAAACUGCUCGUGCCCCGCCCACCUGUGUGAGACACCGGCGUCAUGCUCCUGCAGUUGUUGGUGGCGUUUAAUAAACAAGCGAAUAAACUCGUUAUCAGUUUGACGACUUUAUGUGGGUAUUAAUCGAGUUUGGAGCCACUUGCCGCCGCCAGUCAGCGACUCUGCCCGUCUGCCGCUACUCUUCACCGGCCAUUGGUCGCAACACCUGUCGGCCUAGGAUGGGGACGUUUACCUGGUGGAGCUGCGGAUGCUAGCUAGUAGCUACGACUCUUCACUUCAACUAAUAUCUGUGCGUCUGUACUUGCUGAGGCUCAGACAGCCAUGGCACAUAGGAGGUGGGACGCAAGGAUCCAUCUCCCCAGGAACACUGCCAGCAGAUCCGUGCGCACUGUCUCCUGCGGUGGAGACGCUGGCCUCACUAACCUCUACUCCUCCUGAGUCGGGUCUCCCUCGUGCUGGACUCAGUUUCACUGAGCGU
Molecule: long non-coding RNA, 501 nt
Organism: Perca flavescens (yellow perch)
Lineage: Eukaryota; Metazoa; Chordata; Actinopteri; Perciformes; Percidae
Exons: 3
Source: RefSeq, a predicted model, not a curated record